RNAcentral lists this ribosomal RNA (207 nucleotides) under uncultured bacterium. RNAcentral describes it as "partial 16S ribosomal RNA". It matches the Rfam family "Bacterial small subunit ribosomal RNA", at positions 568 to 774 of the family's 1533-position model. The record is from RNAcentral.
UGCGUAGGCGGUUGGGUAAGUCAGAGGUGAAAUUCCGGGGCUCAACCUCGGAACUGCCUUUGAUACUGCCUGACUAGAGUACUGGAGAGGAGACUGGAAUUCACGGUGUAGCAGUGAAACGCGUAGAUAUCGUGAGGAAGACCAGUGGCGAAGGCGAGUCUCUGGACAGUUACUGACGCUGAGGCACGAAGGCUAGGGGAGCAAACG